UGGCUCUCCCCCUGCUCACCAGUCAACUCUGCUUCACCAGGGAGGGAAACCGAUGGACUGAAGCCACAGGGCUGGCAGCCUGCAGCUCUCAUUUCCAAAGAUUUGUCAAUGAUGCUCCAGGUUCACGCUAGAAGAUUCUGCCUUGGGAUUCACAACCCAACUGGAACAAACCGUGUUCUUGGUGCGGACCCAGGGAUGACAUGCAGAAAAUUCAUAUCAGAAUGAAAGCCGGGAUCCUGGCCAGGAUGCGUGGUCCUGUGGUCAAGACCACGUGGGCAAGCAGGGAGGGAGCACCUAUCUGGAGAUGAGAAGACGGAGAGGGGCUGAUGCCUUCAAGCACAUGCCACGGGUUUGGCAAACACCAAUUCAUUUGAGACCUCUUGUGCAGCUGGAAACAAUGCAAGUUUAUUUUGGCACUGGAGAGAGGGCCGACUCCUCUGCUCUGGACGCCUC
RNAcentral lists this long non-coding RNA (453 nucleotides) under Mus spicilegus (steppe mouse). RNAcentral's name for it is "lncRNA (ENSMSIG00000010464.1)". The record is from RNAcentral. Lineage: Eukaryota; Metazoa; Chordata; Mammalia; Rodentia; Muridae.